Molecule: unclassified non-coding RNA, 442 nt
Filed under: soil metagenome
Description: partial contains 5.8S ribosomal RNA, internal transcribed spacer 2, and large subunit ribosomal RNA
Rfam family: 5.8S ribosomal RNA (bases 1-120)
Source: RNAcentral
GAUGAAGAACGUAGCGAAAUGCGAUACGUAAUGUGAAUUGCAGAAUUCAGUGAAUCAUCGAGUCUUUGAACGCACAUUGCGCCCCCUGGCAUUCCGGGGGGCAUGUCCGACCGAGCGCCGCCGCGCAGCUCAGGCAGGCCUUUUGCAGAGGCCACGCCUGGUGUUGGGGCCUGCGAUGGACGGGAAAGGAGGGCUGUCUGGCACUCCUCCCCGCGCAGCCCUGAAAUUUAGCGGCGGCCGCCGUAGGCCUCUCCCACGCGCAGUAGCAAAAGGGCCCUCACGCCCCUGCCUGGAACGAGCCUGCCAUCGGCCCGCCCAUCCCGAGCGGUCGCGUCGCAGCGCCUGGCCCGCGCCGGCGAUGCACCCCGAACCCCCAACUCGCCGUUGGCCUCGGGUCGGACAAGGCUACCCGCUGAACUUAAGCAUAUCAAUAAGCGGAGGA